AUGCAGUCGAGCGAAUGGAUUAAGAGCUUGCUCUUAUGAAGUUAGCGGCGGACGGGUGAGUAACACGUGGGUAACCUGCCCAUAAGACUGGGAUAACUCCGGGAAACCGGGGCUAAUACCGGAUAACAUUUUGAACCGCAUGGUUCGAAAUUGAAAGGCGGCUUCGGCUGUCACUUAUGGAUGGACCCGCGUCGCAUUAGCUAGUUGGUGAGGUAACGGCUCACCAAGGCAACGAUGCGUAGCCGACCUGAGAGGGUGAUCGGCCACACUGGGACUGAGACACGGCCCAGACUCCUACGGGAGGCAGCAGUAGGGAAUCUUCCGCAAUGGACGAAAGUCUGACGGAGCAACGCCGCGUGAGUGAUGAAGGCUUUCGGGUCGUAAAACUCUGUUGUUAGGGAAGAACAAGUGCUAGUUGAAUAAGCUGGCACCUUGACGGUACCUAACCAGAAAGCCACGGCUAACUACGUGCCAGCAGCCGCGGUAAUACGUAGGUGGCAAGCGUUAUCCGGAAUUAUUGGGCGUAAAGCGCGCGCAGGUGGUUUCUUAAGUCUGAUGUGAAAGCCCACGGCUCAACCGUGGAGGGUCAUUGGAAACUGGGAGACUUGAGUGCAGAAGAGGAAAGUGGAAUUCCAUGUCGUAGCGGUGAAAUGCGUAGAGAUAUGGAGGAACACCAGUGGCGACGGCGACUUUCUGGUCUGUAACUGACACUGAGGCGCGAAAGCGUGGGGAGCAAACAGGAUUAGAUACCCCUGGUAGUCCACGCCGUAAACGAUGAGUGCUAAGUGUUAU
RNAcentral lists this ribosomal RNA (792 nucleotides) under Bacillus cereus. RNAcentral describes it as "bacterial SSU rRNA". It matches the Rfam family "Bacterial small subunit ribosomal RNA", at positions 55 to 826 of the family's 1533-position model. Lineage: Bacteria; Bacillati; Bacillota; Bacilli; Caryophanales; Bacillaceae. The record is from RNAcentral.